This 464-nucleotide ribosomal RNA is filed under the name uncultured bacterium. RNAcentral describes it as "bacterial SSU rRNA". It matches the Rfam family "Bacterial small subunit ribosomal RNA", at positions 338 to 795 of the family's 1533-position model. The record is from RNAcentral.
CCUACGGGUUGCACCAGUGGGGAAUAUUGCACAAUGGGCGCAAGCCUGAUGUAGGCAUGCGGCGUGUAUGAAGAAGGCCUUCGGGUUGUAAAGUACUUUCAGCGGGGAGGAAGGUGUUGUCGUUAAUAACCACAGCAAUUGACGUUACCCGCAGAAGAAGCACCGGCUACUCCGUGCCAGCAGCCGCGGUAAUACGGAGGGUGCAAGCGUUAAUCGGAAUUACUGGGCGUAAAGCGCACGCAGGCGGUCUGUCAAGUCGGAUGUGAAAUCCCCGGGCUCAACCUGGGAACUGCAUUCGAAACUGGCAGGCUAGAGUCUUGUAGAGGGGGGUAGAAUUCCAGGUGUAGCGGUGAAAUGCGUAGAGAUCUGGAGGAAUACCGGUGGCGAAGGCGGCCCCCUGGACAAAGACUGACGCUCAGGUGCGAAAGCGUGGGGAGCAAACAGGAUUAGAUACCCGGAUAGUC